UCCAUUAUGGUGCAGUUCUUCC
This 22-nucleotide non-coding RNA is filed under the name Rattus norvegicus (Norway rat). The record is from RNAcentral. Lineage: Eukaryota; Metazoa; Chordata; Mammalia; Rodentia; Muridae.